UUGAAGGCCUGACCACUAGAGUCUGCUGGGGGCGGGCGUACUAGAGUCUUACUUGGAGGAAGACCCAGGGCUCUCUGAGGGGCCCACUGCUGAUUCAUGAGAACACUUCUGUGCCCACAGCCUCUGUGUGGUGGUGGCAGAGUGAAUCUCUCAGGGCACACCCAGGCCUCAAGUAGACUCUGCUCCUCUGGCUUUUUGGAUUUAUCUGCCUCCAUAAAACAUGUACUUGAUCCUGGUAAAAACCAAGAUUUUGCAGUUGACAGACAAAACUGGAGCUGCUCCUUUCACUUUGUCCUCAUCUAGAAGAUACUAAAAUAGUGAAAGGGAAGGUCUUAAGAAAGUGCCUCCAGACCUGUUGAAAGCAUGAAACUGCUUCAGACUCUUGGUUCAGACAGCCCAGAAUUGUCUUUUCUGACUGGCAGAGGUUUACAAAAGCAUCAGGCAGAGAUCAUUUUGCAGCCCUGCUUCCCAAUAUCCUUUUAACUGGAGAUGCCACAGAUUGAACCUGGAACCUUCCUCAUACGAAGUGUGUGUUCUGCCAGUGAACUAAGGGCCUUCCCGACAAUGGGGAGAAUGCAUGUGAACGUGUGCAGAGUGUCUUUCUCUUAUUCCUGAAUUAUAACCACAUACCUGCUGUCACGGAUCCCACCCUGCUGCCACCAGGUGUCACAGCCCUGUGAUUUUUAAGUUUACCCGCGGCUACCAAGCAGACUUUUAGGCUUUCCCAGUCUACUGAAACCAGCCUUCCAACUUCUGUUGUAAUAAUUAGAGUGUGGUAAAGGCUUAAGGUGUGGGGUGCAAAAAACAGAUAGAAGCCACAGAUCUUUAAAUACAAACAAUAAUGUUUACUUUGAAAACAGUUCAAUUUAAAACAAUCGUUCCUUUGGGGAUAAAACAGCAACCAAAUGAGCACAAGGAUGAAAUAAACUGUGACCAAAAUGCGUCCAAACUGACCUGUUUAACUAACACUGGGCCCUAACAUAAGAGUCCUUACCCAGAGUCUUCUGCAAUCACCUCAGCUUCUCUAGCAAACCCGGCUUGUCCCUUGUUUAGUCUUAGGUUAAACACGUAGGUUAAACAGUCUCACUGCAUAGUUCUGAGGUUUCAAUCCCAGGCUACUGGUGAGUGAUUCAGUUCUCCAGAGAGAUCGGCUCUCUCCAGUUGAUUUUUCAGCCCUUAUUCUCAGCAACUCCUUUCAGUUAUAUCCCACUCUUCAACUCUUUCCAGCUCUGAUGUCCACUUGAUGUUCACUCUGACUCCUUCCAACUCGGACUCUUCAGUUCUCCAACUUGAACUACACUAAAUUCUACUGAAGGCAGCCUCCCUAUAUUCUCUAGCAUCCCUCCAAUUUUUCCAAACCAUCCAAACAACACAACUUAAGUUCCCUCCAGUUCUAAAAACAUACCCAAUAAAAUCAAACCCUCUCUUCCCUCCAAAAUCAAACCAGUACAAUUAAUCUCACUCCAAAAGCAAACUGUAGAUCCUUUGAACCUUUGACCCCUGCACAACUUCCUUAACAUAAGAAAUAAGCAAAGCAAUUGCAACAACAAAAAUCUUAUAUACAAAAAGAGGAGGUUUAGGCCUUGUUUCUUCACACCUGCCAACAUUUUAGAAUGAGAAAUAGGGACAAUCCCCCACCUCCUUGCCAGGCAGGCUUUCUGAAGUCAGUGCUUCUUUCUUCUGAAAAGCAAAUAGGAUUAUCAAAUAAUCCUACCCUUUCUGCAGAGAUUUGAAGCAAGUGCUCUCUUAAACAAAUCAGACCCUGCUUUCCUGCAGGAAAAUCCACGCACUCUGAGAGAGAGACCUGGUGGCCAGGCUCCCUUCAGAGAGAUGAUGUCUCUCGCGACAGUCUCCUCCCUCAAAAUGUAUAAGCCACAGAUGACUCUCUGAAGGGAGGAGGGAAGCGGUGGAAAUUGAGGUUUUCCACUGAGCGAUCAUGAGCCAGGAAACAUGGUGGGAAUUAGGGGUGUGCGAGCCAGCUGUGAGAACAGUUCAGUUCAAAUCUGGACCAGACUGGAUUCAAACUGACCUGUGCUCAGCCUCAGCCCAACUGAGUCUGUUCGGGCCCUCAAAUUGGGCCAAACCGGUUCAUGGGCUGGCUCAAGGGGUAUUCUUGUAAAGGGGAAUCAGGUGAGGAUUCCUCUUUACAAGUACAGGGGGAUUCCCUAACCAAAGGGGGGGGGCAAGAGGAAAAGGUCCUUUUAACCUUUAAAUUGUAGGUUCUGGGGCAGCAGAGGUGGCUGCGAUGGCCGCUGUGAUGGCAGCAAUCUCUGUGGGGGCGGCAGUGGCUCCUCCAACCCCCCUGCCAGCAUCCAAAAUGAUAGUCUGGGCCAGCUGCGGCCCAGUUCAGGCCUCUGCGCACAUGCAGAGGCUAUUUUUGUGACCUCUGCUCAUGAACACAGGCCAUUUGCAUCACCACACAAUUUGCUUGGUAAUGCAAAUGACUUCAGUGCAUGUGCAAAUGUCACUAAAAUAGUGUUUGUGCAUGCGCAGAGGCCUGAAUCAGCCAGCCCGGGCUGUCAUUUUGGAGGCCAGUGAAAUCCUCGGAUUCCCCUUUACAAGUAUACCCCCCUGAGCUGGCCUGUGAUCCAGUUCUUUGAACCAGGGCCCAGGCCAGUUUGAACUCAAACUGCCGAACUGGGCCACUUUGAUGUCCCUAGUGGGAAUAUGUGGCCUUCCUGGGUAAAUCAGGGCAGUUGGUAGGUAUGCAACCAUCAGUCCUUGCACUCUAGGAUUAGGGAAAGGUUAUCGAAGGCAGUAAAUGUGACACUCAGGCAAAAAGCCUUAGUACCUCUCUCACUUUAGAAAGUAAGCAAUGCACUGAGCACACAGUCACUCCCAAGCAGGCAAUAGGGUCCCCCACUCUACAGUCUGCUUAGCAUAGUUGUUAAUCCAACUGCUAGCAUGUCCUCUAUCUACUUUCUUUUAAACUAUCCAAUUUAAAGAUUGCAACUUUAAAUAUCCCAUUUUCUGGGGUCAGGUUCUGUAUUUACAAAAGUAAAAAAACCAGCUUAGAAGUUUAAUGAGUUGUGUCCUUAGAAGCGACAAUGUGCUUGUGUGAACUUAGGAAGGCAAGUUGCAUUUUUUCAAAGAAAUGAAAAGAAAGCUAAGCUUUAGUAACAUCAAUUAAUCUUCACAAGGUCACAGUUUACAUAAUUUUAAUUAACUUCCAUUGAGUAUUAAUGUUCACUUUCCAAAUGAAAAUAUGUUCAUUAAAACACUUAUUAAAUAGCUUUGCUGUGAUGCUGCUAAAGAAUGCUAAGCAGGGAGCAAUCUAAAUCCUCUUUUUAAGCAUUCCUGACAGUGGCGGCUGGCAGUACAUUUGUGCUUAAUGGUUUCCAAAGGCACAAUUGAGCAGGCAGUUCUACUGCACAAGUUCUUGCACAGCUCCAGUUCCACUGUGCUCUUUUGUAGUUCCCAUUUGUUUCAAUGGGGCUUGUAAGAUAUAACUUCCACUGAAUUAUGACCAGAAUCCUUUCCAUUUACCAAAAUAAAAACAUUUUUUAAAGGUUGCA
Long non-coding RNA from Hemicordylus capensis (graceful crag lizard), 3515 nucleotides. RefSeq lists it as uncharacterized. The record is from RefSeq and is a predicted model, not a curated record. NCBI's taxonomy places the organism in Eukaryota, Metazoa, Chordata, Lepidosauria, Squamata, Cordylidae. The transcript has 3 exons.